Molecule: long non-coding RNA, 2766 nt
Filed under: Chinchilla lanigera (long-tailed chinchilla)
Lineage: Eukaryota; Metazoa; Chordata; Mammalia; Rodentia; Chinchillidae
Description: lncRNA (ENSCLAG00000028686.1)
Source: RNAcentral
UAUUUAUCGGAAGUCUCGCGCCCGGUGAAGCUGCCUUGGUGGAACAAACCUGGGAAGAACACCCAGCUGCCCCGAAUUCUGCGUCCCCUUCGCGCAGCGGCCGCUGACUUCUCAGGUCAGGCAGCGGGGCGUCCACCCCGCACCCCGGCUUUCUCUGUCAGAUCUCAAGCCACCAGGAACCCGGGCCAGGUUCACGCAGACGCCUGCACCGAAGAAAUCAGCAGCUUCAUUUCCAAGCUCUUCUUUGCCGAAGCUCAAAGUGAGCCAGCGGCGGCGGCACCUGGUGUCCCCCUCGAGGGUGACGCGGGGGGCCCGGCCGGCGUCUGAGGCAGAGACAGGACGCUGCUCCCCGCGCCGCUGGGGCACACGGGCAGGCGGCCCGCUGCGGCCGCGCCGACGGCGGGCAGUGAAAGAGGCAGACCCCGCAGCCCGCGGCUGCGCUGUCGUCCCCGCAACAGCGGUACCGGUGCAGCCGGGGCACAGCCAGCAGGGUCUCUGCUACCUGUCGCUGCAGCAGCCCCGGCGCCAGCCGCAGGGACAGCCGCAGGUGACGUGCAGACCGGUGCCUGUCACACCCUGGCACGUUGACGCGGGCGGGCCCGCUGGUCCCCAUGGCAACAAAGCCGUUGUUGGCCGGAUGGCGCGGAUCCAGCAGCGGAGGAAGAGGGAGUUCUCCCAGGCCGCGCGUCAGCACAACACCUUAGCAACGGCUGUUUGUGCCCAGAGUGGACCUGGAAACAGAGACGGAGGCUGGAGGGGGCAGAGCGGGCCACCCCGGAGCGGGAUUCCCGGGACAGAAGGAGCGAGAAGCCAGCAGCUUCCUGAAUGCUUACUCUGUGCUGCUGUACCCGUCCUCUAACAAGUGUACAGCGGCUCGCUAGAAACAAUCCUCACCUUUAAGAAAUCAAGUGGAAAAACAGACACAUAAAGUAAGUAAUUACAUGUUAUCCCUGUGACCAUUAUAUUAAGAUGUGCAGCCAGGUGUGGUGUGUUGGAGCCUCAGGAGGCUGAGGCAGGAGGAUCACCGUGAGCUCUGAGGCCAGCCUGGGCUACAAAGUCAGUUCAAGGCGAGCCUGAACUAUGCAGCGAGACCCUGCCUCACAAACAAGAGCAAUGACAACCGUGUGCAUGUGAGAUUCUGUGAGAACACAGAGAAGGCUAUCACAGGUAUGGGGAAAGGUCACCCUUAAAGAGAUGACAAUUUAUUUUUGCAUUUAUCUACUGCUAAACUUGUAUCUUUUUCUCCCUCAAUCUUUUUCUUUCUCUUUCUCUCUGUCAGUCUUCCUUUCUUUCUGGCUGCGCCAGGGAUUGAACCCAGGGUUUUUCACACAGGCUAGGCAAGCACGCUGCCACUGAGCUCUAACUCCCAGGCCUGACUGUGCUUUACUUGCAUAAAUACAUAGAAUACAAUAACAUUACUAAGGAGAACCUUUCCCCUCUGCUUUGCACAUGACCAGUUUUUCUUUCCUGUGUUUCCAGAUAGCCUCUGUCCGUAAGGACACACGUGCGUGGUCUAGAAAGCUGAAAUCAUAAUAGCUAUAAUUGUAUGCUCCAUAAAUGUGCAUAUAUUUGGCUAUUUGAAAGUUGAAAUAUGACUCCCUGUUAAAACAAAAUUAUUACAAGUUGCUGUAUUUUCCAGAAUAGCCUAGAGAAUGUGCCACAUUUUAUUGCUAUAUUAUCAUGACUGUACAGUUUAGAGAGGUUGUAUAGCAAUUAGAAUAAAUUAUUACUGCCUAAUAAAUUUGUGUUUUUGUGUGUUCUUUUGAGGCAGGUCUCACUAUGUAGCCCAAACUGGCCUUGAACUCACAGCCAUCCUUCUGCAUCAGCCUCCCAAGCGCUGGGAUUACAGGGGUGCGCCACCACGCCUGGCCCCACGCCUGGCUCUUUAAACACAUGUCUGUCACAGAACUUCACAGCUGAGAGCCUCCAGGGCUCCCCUUCCCUGUCCCCGCCACAGCUGAAGUCCCCUGGCUGACUCAUGGGCCUCUUCUGGUGACCAAGCCCGGUUACUCUCCCACCCUUCUCUUCCGGCUCACGUUCCCCUCCGCUGACGGGGCCCAUGCUACUCCCCACCUGGAGCCCCUGGUGUUGUCCCUCUCUCUGGACGCACUCUGAGUUCUUCCAGGAGCCUCAUGACCUGGCCGCUGCUUGCCUGGCUGUUGCGUUGUCCUCUAAACUCCCAUGGCCUGGAUCACCACGAGAGAACACUAGUGUGGAAUACCCUGGGGUGCCCAGGGUGGGGUCUUGGGAGUUGUUUGUGUCUCAUAAUAGGUUGCAGAGUCCUCAUCGAUCCAAGUAGGACCAAAUGUUAAAAUGAUCUAAAAGACAGCCAGGCGUGGUGGCACAUGCCUAUAAUCCCAGCACUCGAGGAGGCCGAGGCAGCAGGAUCACCACAAGGUCCAGGCCAGCCUGGGUUACAUAGUGAGACCCUGUCCCCUAGACUCUGAUCCUAACCAGCUAUCGUUUAUUGAAUUCAGACUGCAAGCCCCUUAGAAAUCAAUCUGCCUCAAGCAUUUCUUUAGAAAUGUAAUAUUUUCAGAAAAAAAAUUUUAAAUUCUCAGAAAAUAUAUUUGACAAACCCUUCUGCUAUUUCCCCCUACUUUUGUGUAAGCAUUACUUAAUGGGGCAUGUUAGGCUGAAUUAUAAACAAUCACUUCCUAGAAUGCAAAAGUCAACAAUGUAGGCCAUGACACGGCCCUGGACCAACUCGGUUACUUCAGGUCUCAGGACAGUCACGCUGCGGAGGACAGGAAUCUCUGGUAUUUG